RNAcentral lists this ribosomal RNA (497 nucleotides) under uncultured bacterium. RNAcentral's name for it is "partial 16S ribosomal RNA". It matches the Rfam family "Bacterial small subunit ribosomal RNA", at positions 28 to 507 of the family's 1533-position model. The record is from RNAcentral.
GAUGAACGCUGGCGGCGUGCCUAAUACAUGCAAGUCGAGCGAACAGACGAGGAGCUUGCUCCUCUGACGUUAGCGGCGGACGGGUGAGUAACACGUGGAUAACCUACCUAUAAGACUGGGAUAACUUCGGGAAACCGGAGCUAAUACCGGAUAAUAUAUUGAACCGCAUGGUUCAAUAGUGAAAGACGGUUUUGCUGUCACUUAUAGAUGGAUCCGCGCCGCAUUAGCUAGUUGGUAAGGUAACGGCUUACCAAGGCAACGAUGCGUAGCCGACCUGAGGGGGUGAUCGGCCACACUGGAACUGAGACACGGUCCAGACUCCUACGGGAGGCAGCAGUAGGGAAUCUUCCGCAAUGGGCGAAAGCUUGACGGAGCAACGCCGCGUGAGUGAUGAAGGUCUUCGGAUCGUAAAACUCUGUCAUUAGGGAAGAACAAAUGUGUAAGUAACUAUGCACGUCUUGACGGUACCUAAUCAGAAAGCCACGGCUAACUACGUG